AUUUGGAACUUGUUUUGAAAGGAU
Molecule: small nuclear RNA, 24 nt
Filed under: Arabidopsis thaliana (thale cress)
Lineage: Eukaryota; Viridiplantae; Streptophyta; Magnoliopsida; Brassicales; Brassicaceae
Description: snRNA_04561
Source: RNAcentral